UACAGAGGUCUCAAGCGUUGUUCGGAUUCAUUGGGCGUAAAGGGCGCGUAGGCGGCGUGGCAAGUCACUUGUGAAAUCUCCGGGCUUAACUCGGAACGGUCAAGUGAUACUGCUGUGCUAGAGUGCGGAAGGGGCAACUGGAAUUCUUGGUGUAGCGGUGAAAUGCGUAGAUAUCAAGAGGAACACCUGCGGCGAAGGCGGUUCUCUGGGCCUUACCUGACGCUGAGGAGCGAAAGCGUGGGGAGCGAACAGG
This 253-nucleotide ribosomal RNA is filed under the name uncultured bacterium. RNAcentral's name for it is "partial 16S ribosomal RNA". It matches the Rfam family "Bacterial small subunit ribosomal RNA", at positions 524 to 776 of the family's 1533-position model. The record is from RNAcentral.